RNAcentral lists this long non-coding RNA (587 nucleotides) under Homo sapiens (human). Its description in RNAcentral is "HSALNT0230166". The record is from RNAcentral. Lineage: Eukaryota; Metazoa; Chordata; Mammalia; Primates; Hominidae.
GCCACUGCCCUACUUCUUCUCUCCCAUCGCUCCGCGCACAGCGCCGCUCUAUGCAGGCCUCAGCGGCCAAGGUGCUGUCAUCUAUAUGAUCUCAGUAUUUUAAAAAUCAGCUUCCAGCCCAUAUGAUGGCUCGUGAUUGUAAUACCAGCAGUUGAAGAGGCUGAAAUGAGAGGAUUCUUGGAGCCCAGGAGUUCAAGAGCAACCUGGGCAACAUAGCAAGACCCAGUCUCUAUCAAAAGUUAAAAAAAAAAAAAAAAAACUUGGGCAUGGUGAUGUGCAACGGUUGUCCUAGCUAUUUGGGAGGCCGAGGUGGAAGGAUUGCUUGAGCUUGGGAGGUUGAGGCUGCAGUGAGCAGUGAUUGCACCACUGCACUCCAGGCUGGGCAACAAAGCAAGAACCUAUCUCAAAAAAUAUAUAUAAUAAAAAUAAAAAUCAGCUCUCAUUGAUUGCUACAUAAAUAUGCACAGGUGAUGUCCAUGCAGACAUAAAUAAUUAUAUAUCUGACAAUGGGUCCAUAUAACCUUCAAAAUGUAAAAUGCCUAUCUGUGUAAUUGACUGGUUAGUCUCCUUAAUGAUUAUAGAUUCAA